AACGGUCUAUACCUGCGGUACCUGCGGAAGGAUCAUUAUUGAAUAAACUUGGUUGGGCUGUUGCUGGCUCCUUGGAGCAUGUGCACGCCUAGCACCAAUUUUUACCACCUGUGCACCUUUGUGGACCUGGAUACCUCUCGAGGAAACUCGGUUGGAGGACUGCUGUGCGAAAGCCAGCUUUCCUUACAUUUCCGGUUCAUGUUUUCACAUACCCCAUACGAAUGUAACAGAAUGUCGUUU
This 240-nucleotide unclassified non-coding RNA is filed under the name soil metagenome. Its description in RNAcentral is "partial contains 5.8S ribosomal RNA, internal transcribed spacer 2, and large subunit ribosomal RNA". The record is from RNAcentral.